RNAcentral lists this ribosomal RNA (253 nucleotides) under uncultured bacterium. Its description in RNAcentral is "partial 16S ribosomal RNA". It matches the Rfam family "Bacterial small subunit ribosomal RNA", at positions 524 to 776 of the family's 1533-position model. The record is from RNAcentral.
UACAGAGGGUGCAAGCGUUGUUCGGAAUUAUUGGGCGUAAAGGGAGUGUAGGCUGUUCGGUAAGUCUUCUGUGAAAUCUACGGGCUUAGCCUGUAACGUGCAGAGGAAACUACCGGGCUUGAGUGUCGGAGAGGACAGGGGAAUACCCAGUGUAGAGGUGAAAUUCGUAGAGAUCGGGAGGAACACCAGUGGCGAAGGCGACUACCUGGCCUGUUCUUGACGCUGAGGCGCGAAAGCUAGGGGAGCAAACGGG